UGACGCGCGGCGUACGGCGGCGGUGUGUGUUGCACUUAACCCAGCAUGUCAGCACAUUUGUAAGCAUUAAGCUCACAAAAUACAGCUGAUUUUGGUCUUUAUUUUUUAGAUGAUUUGCCAUAAACUACAAUUUUGUACCAUUAGAAAUGUUGACAAACAGGUCAAAUACCAACAGGCUACCAGAGCAACUGAAACUGUUAUCAUAGAGUCACGUUCUUAGUAGGCUUAAGCGCUAAAACGUAAACAGGGAAUACAGAAGGAGACAAAACAUUACAAUUUCUCUCCUCUACCAAUAUGGAUGAUUCAGAGUGCAGACGACAGCAGCAGUGUGUGUUACCCUGGGCUAGAAUACCUGUGUUUGCUCUAAUAUCACCAACAAAGACUUUAUGCUGAUCUACAUGCACAGAGCGAGUGAAAACACAGGAGAUGACAGCCUGGAGAGGAGAGCCUUUAUGUGGGGCACGCUGGGGUCUGGCAGGGGCUCCUGAAGCACACACAGCAGCAGGCUGUCGGCCAGGGCAAGGGCCAGAUGACCGCAGUGGCCCAGGCCUCUAGGCUGGGACAUCCUGGAGAAAUGAUGAGAGCACAGUGAGCAUGUUUACAACCUCCUGCUGUAUCCUCAUUGGAGACUCCCCCUUGAAUUGAAGCAAACUUACUGAAUAAACAUAACACGAUUAAAUCCACGGACGGGGUCAGGAGGGAUUCACUCUAUGCGGCUGCACUCACCUGAUUCUGCCCUG
This is a long non-coding RNA of Epinephelus lanceolatus (giant grouper), 740 nucleotides long. RefSeq lists it as uncharacterized. The record is from RefSeq and is a predicted model, not a curated record. Lineage: Eukaryota; Metazoa; Chordata; Actinopteri; Perciformes; Serranidae.